ACUUGCUAACAGGUAGAGGGAUCCAAGAGGAAUUAAUCUUCAUUAAAGGUCUUCAAGCAGAAUCUGGACAACCUCUUGUCAGCCACCAGAUUUGAAGAGCAACAUUGAAAAUCUAGAGUAUCUACAGGAUGCCAGGUGUCCAGAAGGGGCUUAUCAACUUUGAAUCAUCUAAUUCACAGUUCACAGGGAUAUAAGAUUUAGAGCUGGAAGGGACUUUAAAGAUUAUCAAGGCUUUCCACCAAGAUGGAACCAAAGGUGAAGAAGGAAGCAGUUGUACCCUCCAAGACAGAAGCUAAGUCCAAGGCCUUGAAGGCCAAGAAGGCAGUGUUGAAGGGUGUUCAUAGCCACAAAAAGAAGACAAUCCAAAUGUCCCCUACAUUCUGGUGACCCAAGACACUAAGUCUUCAAUGGCAGUCCAAAAACCCACAGAAAAAGGGCUCCUCAGAGGAACAAGCUUGACCACUAUGCCAUCACUAAGUUUCCCUUGACCACUGAGUCCACUAGGAAGAUUGAAGACAGCAACACCCUGGUCUUCACUGUGGAUGUCAAAGCCAACAAGCAUCAGAUCAAGCAGGCCGUAAAGAAGCUGUAUGACACCGACGGACAUCAGUGUGGCCAAGGUCAAUAUGCUGAUCUGGCCUGUUGGAGAGAAGAAGGCCUAUGUCCAACUUGCUCUAGACUAUAAUGCUUUAGAUGUUGCCAACAAAAUUGGAAUCAUCAAAACUGUGUCCAGCUAUCCCACUCUACUUACAAUGAAAAGUUUUCCAGGUAAAAAAAAAAAAAGGUUAUGAGUUCCAAUCUUUCAAUCGCCUCCUUUUUAUAGAUGGAGAAC
Molecule: non-coding RNA, 832 nt
Organism: Phascolarctos cinereus (koala)
Lineage: Eukaryota; Metazoa; Chordata; Mammalia; Diprotodontia; Phascolarctidae
Source: RefSeq, a predicted model, not a curated record